GGGUGUGUAGCUCAGUUGGUUAGAGCUCGGAGCUUAUACCUCCGCGGUCCCUGGUUCGAGUCCAGGCACACCCACCA
This 77-nucleotide transfer RNA is filed under the name Candidatus Uhrbacteria bacterium. RNAcentral's name for it is "tRNA-Ile". It matches the Rfam family "tRNA". From Rfam's summary of the family: Transfer RNA (tRNA) molecules are approximately 80 nucleotides in length. Their secondary structure includes four short double-helical elements and three loops (D, anti-codon, and T loops). Further hydrogen bonds mediate the characteristic L-shaped molecular structure. tRNAs have two regions of fundamental functional importance: the anti-codon, which is responsible for specific mRNA codon recognition, and the 3' end, to which the tRNAs corresponding amino acid is attached (by aminoacyl-tRNA synthetases). tRNAs cope with the degeneracy of the genetic code in two manners: having more than one tRNA (with a specific anti-codon) for a particular amino acid; and 'wobble' base-pairing, i.e. permitting non-standard base-pairing at the 3rd anti-codon position. Lineage: Bacteria; Candidatus Uhriibacteriota. The record is from RNAcentral.